RNAcentral lists this long non-coding RNA (1185 nucleotides) under Marmota monax (woodchuck). Lineage: Eukaryota; Metazoa; Chordata; Mammalia; Rodentia; Sciuridae. The record is from RNAcentral.
GGUGUCUCUGUACACCAUAGCUCCCAAGGUAGAGUUUACUCCCACCUCCAGGGGCGAGAUGCCUCGAGCCAGGGUGUGUGUGUGUGGGGUAGCUCUGUACACCAUCGCACCCAGGGUAGAGGGGACUCCCCCCCUCCAGGAGCAGGACGCCUGGAGCCCAGAUGUCUGGGUGGGGGAGCUCUGUACACCAUCUCACCCAGGAUACAGGGGACUACCCCUUACAGUGGGGAGAUGUAUGGAAUUGGGUGUUGGGUGGGAGCUCUGUACACCAAGGUAGAGGGGACUCCCCACUGCACAGGCUAGAAGCCUAGAGGCCGGGUGUGUGUGUGUGGGAGCUCUGUACAGCAUUGCACCCAGGGUAUAGGGGACUCCCCCCUCCUGGGGCUAGACGCCUCAAGCUCGGAUUUCGGGGGGGGGGGCUCUGUACACCAUCCCACUCAGGGUAGAAGGGAUUCCCCGCUCCAGGGGUGAGAUGCCUCCAGCCCGGGGUGUGUGUGUGUGAGCUCUGUACACCAUCGCACCCAAGGUAGAAGGGACUCCCACCUCCAGGGGCAAGAUGCCUGGAGCCCUGAUGUCGGGGAGGAGCUCUGUACACCAUCGCACCCAGAGUAGAGAAGACUGCCCCCUCUAGGGGCAAGAUGCCUCAAGCGUGUGUGUGUGUGUGUGUGUGUGUGUGUGUGUGUAGCUCUGUACACCAUCUCACCCAGGGUAGUGGGGAAUCUUCCCUCCGGGGGGCGAGAAGCCUCCAGCCUGGUUGUCGGGGGCGGGGGAGCUCUGUAUACCAUAGCACCUAGGGUAGAGGGGACUCCCCCUUCGAGGGGCAAGAUGCCUCGAAUCCCGGUGUCAGCGUGGGAGCUCUGUACACCAUUUUACCCAAGGUAGAUGGGACUCCCUUCUCUGGGGGCGAGACACCUAGAGCCCGGGUAUUGGGGGGAGCUAUGUACAUCAUGGCACUCAGGGUAGAGGGGACUUCCCCCUCCAUGGGCGAGACACCUCUAGCCCUGGUGUUGGUUGAGAGCUCUGUACAACAACACACCCAGGGUAGAGGGGACUCCCCCCUCCAGGGGCGAGAUGCGUUGAGCCUGGGUGUCGGGGUAGUGGUGGUGGUGGAGCUCUGUACAUCAUAGCACCCAAGGUAGAGGGGAUCCCCCCUCUAGGGGUGAGACACCUGGAGCCUGGGUGUCG